This 76-nucleotide transfer RNA is filed under the name Polydactylus plebeius (striped threadfin). RNAcentral's name for it is "tRNA-Lys". The record is from RNAcentral. Lineage: Eukaryota; Metazoa; Chordata; Actinopteri; Polynemidae.
CGCUAAGAAGCUAUGAAGGAAUUUAGCGUUAGCCUUUUAAGCUGAAGCCGAGGUGACUACCGACCACCCUUAGCGG